RNAcentral lists this transfer RNA (76 nucleotides) under Hyphomicrobium sp. Its description in RNAcentral is "tRNA-Phe". It matches the Rfam family "tRNA". From Rfam's summary of the family: Transfer RNA (tRNA) molecules are approximately 80 nucleotides in length. Their secondary structure includes four short double-helical elements and three loops (D, anti-codon, and T loops). The record is from RNAcentral. Lineage: Bacteria; Pseudomonadati; Pseudomonadota; Alphaproteobacteria; Hyphomicrobiales; Hyphomicrobiaceae.
GCCCAGGUAGCUCAGUUGGUAGAGCACACGAUUGAAAAUCGUGGUGUCGCUGGUUCAAAUCCGGCCCUGGGCACCA